This is a long non-coding RNA of Fundulus heteroclitus (mummichog), 228 nucleotides long. RefSeq lists it as uncharacterized. The transcript has 3 exons. NCBI's taxonomy places the organism in Eukaryota, Metazoa, Chordata, Actinopteri, Cyprinodontiformes, Fundulidae. The record is from RefSeq and is a predicted model, not a curated record.
UUCUAUCGUGAUCAAUGUCACCACCAACAUCAAGCCCUGCAGUCAGAAACAAGAUAACAUCGUGCAGGAAGGACAAAAAGGCUUCACCACAGAGGAGAUGGAGCAAAAACUGCAGACAAUAUGGGAGCUUGCUCAAGGUCAGAGUAUCGAGACGCUGAACUACGACACCAUCCAGGAUUUGUCGCUGCUGCUCGACUCGCCCAACCACAUUUAUGUUUUAAGGAAGCU